Molecule: unclassified non-coding RNA, 715 nt
Filed under: uncultured cyanobacterium
Lineage: Bacteria; Bacillati; Cyanobacteriota
Description: partial contains 16S ribosomal RNA, 16S-23S ribosomal RNA intergenic spacer, and 23S ribosomal RNA
Rfam family: Bacterial small subunit ribosomal RNA (bases 1-112)
Source: RNAcentral
GAAGUCGUUACUCCAACCCUUGUGGAGGAGGACGCCGAAGGUGAGGCUAAUGACUGGGGUGAAGUCGUAACAAGGUAGCCGUACCGGAAGGUGCGGCUGGAUCACCUCCUAACAGGGAGACAACGAAAUGUAAAUAUUAAUUUUGUCACCUUAGGUCGAUCGGUAUCUCAGAUUCUUAUUAUUUAAGAAUUUCAGUUUCUAAGUUUUUUCUAGGUCACACCCAUCACUUUUUCCUGGGCCAUUAGCUCAGGUGGUUAGAGCGCACCCCUGAUAAGGGUGAGGUCCCUGGUUCAAGUCCAGGAUGGCCCAUAUCUCUAUGUUGGGGGUAUAGCUCAGUUGGUAGAGCGCCUGCUUUGCAAGCAGGAUGUCAGCGGUUCGAGUCCGCUUACCUCCACUGAAUACCACCUCUUACAUAUAGUUGAAGUGGGAAAUUGUUUUGAGUCGUGUCCUAAUUUGCUCUGAGCGAAUCUAGCUUCCUAUUUUAUCCAAGAAAUAAGAUGCUGGACUCAUUGAAUUUUUUUUCAUUGUUUUCAGAGAACCUUGACAACUGCAUAGAUUAUUUUCAAAGACAAUAAGCAUCUUUAAUGAUGCAGAUUUAUUAUUUGUGCGAAUGCAUUAAAUAACAAUUCUAUUAAGCUGAUGCUUCAAUUAUUGAAGUUAUUGGUCAAGCUACAAAGGGCUCACGGAGGAUACCUAGGCACACAGAGGCGAUGAA